RNAcentral lists this ribosomal RNA (452 nucleotides) under Pseudomonas sp. MD01. Its description in RNAcentral is "bacterial SSU rRNA". It matches the Rfam family "Bacterial small subunit ribosomal RNA", at positions 322 to 767 of the family's 1533-position model. The record is from RNAcentral. Lineage: Bacteria; Pseudomonadati; Pseudomonadota; Gammaproteobacteria; Pseudomonadales; Pseudomonadaceae.
AGACACGGUCCAGACUCCUACGGGAGGCAGCAGUGGGGAAUAUUGGACAAUGGGCGAAAGCCUGAUCCAGCCAUGCCGCGUGUGUGAAGAAGGUCUUCGGAUUGUAAAGCACUUUAAGUUGGGAGGAAGGGUUGUAGAUUAAUACUCUGCAAUUUUGACGUUACCGACAGAAUAAGCACCGGCUAACUCUGUGCCAGCAGCCGCGGUAAUACAGAGGGUGCAAGCGUUAAUCGGAAUUACUGGGCGUAAAGCGCGCGUAGGUGGUUUGUUAAGUUGGAUGUGAAAUCCCCGGGCUCAACCUGGGAACUGCAUCCAAAACUGGCAAGCUAGAGUAUGGUAGAGGGUGGUGGAAUUUCCUGUGUAGCGUGAAAUGCGUAGAUAUAGGAAGGAACACCAGUGGCGAAGGCGACCACCUGGACUGAUACUGACACUGAGGUGCGAAAGCGUGGGGA